CUUAGUUUUCGACGUGUUUUGGUGUGCAGGGGAGUUCUAUUCCGAUUGAAACCGUCCAAAACUGAGGC
RNAcentral lists this microRNA precursor (68 nucleotides) under Drosophila ananassae. Its description in RNAcentral is "Dan-Mir-957_pre stem-loop". It matches the Rfam family "mir-957 microRNA precursor family", at positions 6 to 73 of the family's 77-position model. The record is from RNAcentral. Lineage: Eukaryota; Metazoa; Arthropoda; Insecta; Diptera; Drosophilidae.